Molecule: ribosomal RNA, 262 nt
Filed under: uncultured bacterium
Lineage: Bacteria
Description: partial 16S ribosomal RNA
Rfam family: Bacterial small subunit ribosomal RNA
Source: RNAcentral
GACGAACGCUGGCGGCGUGCUUAACACAUGCAAGUCGAGCGGUAAGGCCCUUUCGGGGGUACGACGAGCGGCGAACGGGUGAGUAACACGUGGGUGACCUGCCCUCAGCUCUGGGAUAAGCCCGGGAAACGUGGGUCUAAUACUGGAUAUUACUCUGCGGUGCAUGCCGUGGGGUGGAAAGCCUUGUGCGGCUGGGGAUGGGCCCGCGGCCUAUCAGCUUGUUGGUGGGGUGAUGGCCACCAAGGCGACGACGGGUAGCCGG